GCCGGCCUGGAAGGCCGAACGGUCACAUGGAAUUGAGAACCUGCCAGAUCCUACCGAGGGCAGGCAGUGGGGGAAUAUUUGCUAAUGGGCGGGAAGCUGAUGCAGGCAACGCCGCGUGGAGGGAUGGCCGGCCUUCGGGUUGUAUACCUUCUUUUAGCAGGGAAGAAGCGAGAGUGACGGUACCUGCUGAAAAAAGCACCGGCUAAUUACGUGCCAGCAGCCGCGGUAAUACGUAGGGUGCAAGCGUUAUCCGGUAUUAUUGGGCGUAAAGAGCUCGUAGGCGGUCUGUCGCGUCUGCUGUGAAAUCCCGAGGCUCAACCUCGGGCUUGCAGUGGGUACGGGCAGACUAGAGUGCGGUAGGGGAGAUUGGAAUUCCUGGUGUAGCGGUGGAAUGCGCAGAUAUCAGGAGGAACACCGAUGGCGAAGGCAGAUCUCUGGGCCGUAACUGACGCUGAGGAGCGAAAGGGUGGGGAGCAAACAGGCUUAGAUACCCUGGUAGUCCACCCCGUAAACGUUGGGAACUAGUUGUGGGGUCCUUUCCACGGAUUCCGUGACGCAGCUAACGCAUUAAGUUCCCCGCCUGGGGAGUACGGCCGCAAGGCUAAAACUCAAAGGAAUUGACGGGGACCCGCACAAGCGGCGGAGCAUGCGGAUUAAUUCGAUGCAACGCGAAGAACCUUACCAAGGCUUGACAUACACGAGAACGGGCCAGAAAUGGUCAACUCUUUGGACACUCGUGAACAGGUGGUGCAUGGUUGUCGUCAGCUCGUGUCGUGAGAUGUUGGGUUAAGUCCCGCAACGAGCGCAACCCUCGUUCUAUGUUGCCAGCACGUAAUGGUGGGAACUCAUGGGAUACUGCCGGGGUCAACUCGGAGGAAGGUGGGGAUGACGUCAAAUCAUCAUGCCCCUUAUGUCUUGGGCUUCACGCAUGCUACAAUGGCCGGUACAAUGGGCUGCGAUACCGUAAGGUGGAGCGAAUCCCAAAAAGCCGGUCCCAGUUCGGAUUGAGGUCUGCAACUCGACCUCAUGAAGUCGGAGUCGCUAGUAAUCGCAGAUCAGCAACGCUGCGGUGAAUACGUUCCCGGGUCUUGUACACACCGCCCGUCAAGUCAUGAAAGUCGGUAACACCUGAAGCCGGUGGCCUAACCCC
This 1150-nucleotide ribosomal RNA is filed under the name Microbacterium sp. M1-19. Its description in RNAcentral is "bacterial SSU rRNA". It matches the Rfam family "Bacterial small subunit ribosomal RNA", at positions 286 to 1442 of the family's 1533-position model. Lineage: Bacteria; Bacillati; Actinomycetota; Actinomycetes; Micrococcales; Microbacteriaceae. The record is from RNAcentral.